RNAcentral lists this ribosomal RNA (953 nucleotides) under Camarosporidiella arezzoensis. RNAcentral describes it as "SSU rRNA". It matches the Rfam family "Eukaryotic small subunit ribosomal RNA", at positions 139 to 1102 of the family's 1831-position model. RNAcentral also lists the same sequence under 3 other names. The record is from RNAcentral. Lineage: Eukaryota; Fungi; Ascomycota; Dothideomycetes; Pleosporales.
AUGGAUAACCGUGGUAAUUCUAGAGCUAAUACAUGCUGGAAACCCCAACUUCGGGAGGGGUGUAUUUAUUAGAUAAAAAACCAACGCCCUUCGGGGCUUCUUGGUGAUUCAUAAUAACUUUACGGAUCGCAUGGCCUUGCGCCGGCGACGGUUCAUUCAAAUUUCUGCCCUAUCAACUUUCGAUGGUAAGGUAUUGGCUUACCAUGGUUUCAACGGGUAACGGGGAAUUAGGGUUCGAUUCCGGAGAGGGAGCCUGAGAAACGGCUACCACAUCCAAGGAAGGCAGCAGGCGCGCAAAUUACCCAAUCCCGACACGGGGAGGUAGUGACAAUAAAUACUGAUACAGGGCUCUUUUGGGUCUUGUAAUUGGAAUGAGUACAAUUUAAACCUCUUAACGAGGAACAAUUGGAGGGCAAGUCUGGUGCCAGCAGCCGCGGUAAUUCCAGCUCCAAUAGCGUAUAUUAAAGUUGUUGCAGUUAAAAAGCUCGUAGUUGAAACUUGGGUCUGGCUGGCAGGUCCGCCUCACCGCGUGUACUUGUCCGGCCGGGCCUUCCUUCUGGAGAACCUCAUGCCCUUCACUGGGCGUGUUGGGGACCAGGACUUUUACUUUGAAAAAAUUAGAGUGUUCAAAGCAGGCCUUUGCUCGAAUACGUUAGCAUGGAAUAAUAGAAUAGGACGUGCGGUCCUAUUUUGUUGGUUUCUAGGACCGCCGUAAUGAUUAAUAGGGACAGUCGGGGGCAUCAGUAUUCAAUUGUCAGAGGUGAAAUUCUUGGAUUUAUUGAAGACUAACUACUGCGAAAGCAUUUGCCAAGGAUGUUUUCAUUAAUCAGUGAACGAAAGUUAGGGGAUCGAAGACGAUCAGAUACCGUCGUAGUCUUAACCGUAAACUAUGCCGACUAGGGAUCGGGCGAUGUUCUUUUUCUGACUCGCUCGGCACCUUACGAGAAAUCAAA